UACAGAGGGGGCAAGCGUUAUUCGGAAUUACUGGGCGUAAAGGGCGCGUAGGCGGUCUGCUAAGUCGAACGUGAAAUCCCUGGGCUCAACCCAGGAACUGCGUCCGAUACUGGUUGGCUUGAAUCCGGGAGAGGGAUGUGGAAUUCCAGGUGUAGCGGUGAAAUGCGUAGAUAUCUGGAGGAACACCGGUGGCGAAGGCGACAUCCUGGACCGGUAUUGACGCUGAGGCGCGAAAGCCAGGGGAGCAAACGGG
RNAcentral lists this ribosomal RNA (253 nucleotides) under uncultured bacterium. Its description in RNAcentral is "partial 16S ribosomal RNA". It matches the Rfam family "Bacterial small subunit ribosomal RNA", at positions 524 to 776 of the family's 1533-position model. The record is from RNAcentral.